This 64-nucleotide non-coding RNA is filed under the name unclassified sequences. RNAcentral's name for it is "S15-Halobacteria ribosomal protein leader". It matches the Rfam family "S15-Halobacteria ribosomal protein leader". The record is from RNAcentral.
UUGGGAACAGCACGGCCGCAAGUCUGACUCGCCGUAUUUUGACGGCUUGGGAUUGCGGAAGUGU